GUGUCAGCCGCCGCGGUAAGACGUAGGACGCGAGCGUUAUCCGGAUUUACUGGGCGUAAAGCGUCUGUAGGCGGAACAGUAAGUUGGGCGUGAAAGCUUCGGGCUUAACCCGGAGAGGACGUACAAGACUGCUGAACUAGAGGCCACCAGAGGGGCGUGGAAUUUCCGGUGUAGCGGUAAAAUGCGCAGAUAUCGGAAGGAACACCAGUGGCGAAGGCGGCGCCCUGGGGUGGGCCUGACGCUAAGAGACGAAAGCUAGGGGAGCGAACAGGAUUAGAGACCCUGGUAGUCCUAGCCGUAAACGAUGGAUGCUAGGUGAGGGGCCGACAGGCUCCGUGCCGCAGCAAACGCGAUAAGCAUCCCGCCUGGGGAGUACGGUCGCAAGGCUAAAACUUAAAUGAAUUGACGG
This 409-nucleotide ribosomal RNA is filed under the name uncultured bacterium. RNAcentral describes it as "bacterial SSU rRNA". It matches the Rfam family "Bacterial small subunit ribosomal RNA", at positions 505 to 916 of the family's 1533-position model. The record is from RNAcentral.